Long non-coding RNA from Diorhabda carinulata, 468 nucleotides. RefSeq lists it as uncharacterized. The transcript is spliced from 3 exons. The record is from RefSeq and is a predicted model, not a curated record. NCBI's taxonomy places the organism in Eukaryota, Metazoa, Arthropoda, Insecta, Coleoptera, Chrysomelidae.
UCGUGGUUUAUGUGAUAAAAUAAGACUUUUUAGUUGAAUAUAUUGUUGAAGAAACGUACUAUUUAAGAGCUUUUUAUUAGUUUUCCUCCAGGUUUUUAAGAUCUAGGACUGCUUCAGAAUGGAUAUGUGCUUUAUGUAAUGUAAACAUUACAUUUCAAAGCAUCCAUCUAAGUUUUUUCGGUUUCCAAAAAACAAGACCGAGAGGAAUAGAUGGAUUUUAAAUAAAGAAAAAAGAAUGGGUCAACUUUAUUUGAUUUCAAUAUUCAGAAGAAAUUUAAUGUAAAAUCACCAGAAAAAAGAAGCGAACUGUAAAAAAUCUUGUGAUAGAGCUACUACCAGGACCUUCAAUCGAACCACUACCAGGACCUUCAAGUGAACCACUACCAGGACCUUUAACCAAACUACUGCCAGGGUCUUCAAAACGGGAUCUUGAAGUGAACUCAAUUGAUUAACCGUACGGAGUUGAGC